Molecule: long non-coding RNA, 842 nt
Filed under: Marmota monax (woodchuck)
Lineage: Eukaryota; Metazoa; Chordata; Mammalia; Rodentia; Sciuridae
Source: RNAcentral
AUUUGCUUGAAGUUUUUUGAAAUUUAAGUACAUCUGAAAUUUAUGGUUAUUUUGAGAAUGAACUCAUCAAAUUUUACAGCUAUUCCAUAUUAAAUGUAUUCAUGUUCUUGACAUCUUUGGUUUAUGGGACCAUAAAUCUCUAGGUACAUUAUCUACUGGAUAGGUUUAAUGAAAAGCAAGAUGUUUUGAUAAAUACUAGCUUCUCUUGAAAAUUAUGCUUAUAACCAUAUUCAUUAAAAUUAUAUAUUGCGUUUACUGUGUUCCAGGCACUCUUCAAAAAUAUUUUAAAUAAUUCAUUUAGUCCUUCUGACACUCUUAGAAGUAGCACUAUUAUGUCAAUUUACAUAUGGAAAUUAGCCUGUGGGAGAUUCUGGCCCCAGGGCACAUACUAGGAAGGGAAGAAGGCUUCAGUCAGAUUCUGUUGAGGUUUAUCGUGUCAUCAAAUUUGGAGGAGAUUAAAAAUGUCUUGAAAAGUAAAAAAAAAAAAGGAUUAGCCAAAUUCCUCAGAGAUGCCGUGAAUGCCGUGAACACUGCAUACUUGAUAAAGUACCAUAUUUGGCAGCCCCACUUUGAGUAUAUGUCACCUUGGUUUGUCUGGGAUUGUGCCAUAGAGGCUAUAAUUAUUCUACAGAACACUCCCAGAAUCCGAGAUUGAAAUUUAGAGACAAGAUUAGAAAAAUGGCAUUCUUGAAAGCGGACCAGAACUAAUGUAAAACGGGUGAGAUGAACUGAAAGUUCCAGCCCAGGAAAGCUUCAGUGCCUGGCUGAUGAGAGCAGGAGCCCCCCAACACCCAGGAGCUGUGUGACGAGAAUUAUCUGGGUGUGUUAGUUUAUAAGCUAGC